UUUUAAUCAGUUAAAUUAAGCACAGCCAUGGCUCCCAAGAAUGUUUUUUUAUUCUUUGGAAUAAUCUUCAUUGCACUUCAAUUUUGCCACGUAUCUUGUCAAACAGGCUAUGACAAAACAGAAAGCAUGAAUCCUGGAAACCAAGACUCUUGGGGAGCCGAUAAACCAGAGGGUGAAGUUAAAGCUGCAUCAACUGAAGUCAAAGAAAGUGAAACACCAAUCGAAGAUGCACCAAUUGAUGAAGAAGCCAAGAAAUUAACUUUGGAUGAAUACAAAGCAUUACGUAGACAACGUGCCAAGCCAGCUUUCAAUUUAUCGAAAUUUCACACAAUGAUACUAGCUGUGUAAUAAAAUUAAAUGACUGGAAUAAUGUUUUGCUACAUUUGAGAAUGAUUUUGGAGACAAAUUUCAUACU
Long non-coding RNA from Aphidius gifuensis, 415 nucleotides. RefSeq lists it as uncharacterized. The transcript has 4 exons. Lineage: Eukaryota; Metazoa; Arthropoda; Insecta; Hymenoptera; Braconidae. The record is from RefSeq and is a predicted model, not a curated record.